This is a long non-coding RNA of Orcinus orca (killer whale), 3039 nucleotides long. RefSeq lists it as uncharacterized. The transcript is spliced from 3 exons. The record is from RefSeq and is a predicted model, not a curated record. NCBI's taxonomy places the organism in Eukaryota, Metazoa, Chordata, Mammalia, Artiodactyla, Delphinidae.
GCUGCUUCCAAAGGCUCACACGACCUCAGAGAAAUCCCACAGCGGACAGAGACAAGGACGUGUGCCCCUCAACAGACACGUGGACAGACAGACAGAGGCGGACCGCACAGCACUGAGUGGACAAACAGAAGCCAAUGACGGGGGUCGCCCUUGGACACCAAGCCUGAAGCUGGCAUCCGAAAAGGGAAAUUCCCAGCCAUGGGCCCUGGGGCCAGAUUUCCAAGACUCAUAACUGCUCAGUUCCUGUUUUGUUGGAUGCCGAUGAGGUUGCCCAGCUGAGGAGAGACAGGUCCUCAGUUUUUCUGGUGUCAGCGGCUGUCAUCUCGGACUAAAUCCAAUUUUCUGCAUGGGGUGCUGAAGGAAGAGGCCUCUGCUCUAUAUCUGAAGCAAAAAGCUGGAUUCAUCGUUUGCAAGGCAGUGAACACGGCAGACUGCGGAUCUCCUGUGGAGUAUUUGGGAAGUGUGGGGCUGGGGAUUAGACGACUCUUCACAGCGGGAGUAUUCAAGCAUUAAGUGACCUUUAGCGAAGGCAGCUUGGCCACCGGAGCAAGGCUGUUGCUGAUUGGCCCUCAGAAGCAUGUGUACUGACCAGAGGAAGCUGUCCUCGGGACUCCUGGUUACUUGUUCCAGUGGCCAAAGAACAGUGAGUCUUUUCUUGAAAGGGAGGAUAGGAACUGUUCUCGGUAGGAUCCCUUUUUUAUUUAAAUGUCAAAUAAUCCAGCUCAGAGAUUUUCAAACUUUACCAUGAAUCAAAUCCGAUCACCCAGAGGGCUUGUUAGAGCAGACUGUUGGGCCCCUCUCCUGCAGAGUGUCUGAUUAGGUAGGUCUGGGAUGGGAGCCAAGAAUCUGCACUUCUAAUGAGUUCCCAGGUGAUGCUGAUGCUCUGGUCCAGGGACCACACUUUGAGAACCACUGGUCCAGUAUCAUCGGAGUUGUAGUUAAUUAUUUGCUGUUAAGAAAAUAUCUAGGGGCUUCCCUGGUGGCACAGUGGUUGAGAAUCUGCCUGCCAAUGCAGGGGACACGUGUUCGAGCCCUGGUCUGGGAGGAUCCCACAUGCCGUGGAGCAACUAGGCCCGUGAGCCACAACUACCGAGCCUGUGCGUCUGGAGCCUGUGCUCCGCAACAAGAGAGGCCGCGACAGCGAGAGGCCCGCGCACCACGAUGAAGAGUGGCCCCUGCUCGCCGCAACUAGAGAAAGCCCUCGCACAGAAACGAAGACCCAACACAGCCAAAAAUAAAUAAAUAAAUAAAUAUUUAAAAAAAAAAAAAAAAGAAAAAAUAUUUAGGGAAUUCCCUGAUGAUCCGGUGGUUAGGGCUCCGUGCUUCCAAUGCUGGGGUCCUGGGUUCAAUCUCUGGUCGGGGAAGUAAGAUCCCGCAAGUUGUGCAGCGUGGCCAGAAAAAAAAAAAAAAAAAGAAAUAUAUAUAUAUAUAUAUUUAACACAAUAAGUUACUGAUGAGUCUAAGAAUUCUGUAAAUGAUUUUGUAAAAUGGUUAUUAAUCACAGCCACAUCUAUAUACAUUUGAAAAAUAAUGGUAAAUACAUAGGAGAAAGAUAAUACUCCUUCUAAAGUUAAUGACUAGAAAAUAUGAAUUCCAGGACAUAUUGUAGUAAUUCUGUCCUGUCCUUCUCCUCCUCUUCCUUUCCCAACUUCCGCCUCAGAAUGUGUGACCCAUCCCGUCCUGGGGAAUCCUAGACCAGGUACUUCCCAAGGAUCCUCCCAGGUUUGUGAUUCUAUGUUUGUGGCAGAUCGUGGUUUAACACAUGAAUUUCUGGUCAAGGUAUGAGCCAUGUUAGUAAAGUGAUGUAAACUGAAAAUACAGGAGGCAAGGAAGUUUACAAGACAAUUGGGAGAGGAAGAGAGAGAGAGGAAGAAGAAGAAAGAAAGAGAGAGAGAGGCUGGCUGCCUUUAGAAAUUCUCCUUCGUAUCACCAAGGAAAACUGUCCAUCUUUGUAUCAGUGUAAGUGCUGGGUGAUAUCAGAUUGUUGUGGUUCGUUGAAGAUAAACCAUGUUGCAGGCAGGACACACACUGUCCUCAGAAGGAAAGUUUGGCACGCCCCUGCGUUUCUACUGUGACAGUCUGAGGUAGGGCCAUUGCAUGUAAAUGAAUGGAAGAGAAAUGGAAACACUCUGUGUUUCUGAAGAAAAUUUUUACAAGGAAAAUUCUGAUUAAACAAAAAAACCCCAAGGGAUACUAGGACACACAAAAGCCAUGGCUCUGCGUGAUACAGUGCCGGGAGUGAAUGCUGCCAUUUUCCCAUGUCUUGCCAAGAAGCUUUUACUAAUGGGUUCAUUGGAAAAUCCUUUCAGUAGAGACCACAAUGUUCUGUUUCUACAAGUGCUAAUAGCUAGUAUUUUUAUUGAGAGCUCAGUAUGUUCUAGGCUCAUACAAUCCUCACCUAAGUAUUAUGAGGUAAGUACUAAGUCACCCUUAUUUUACAGGUGAGGAAACUGAGACACAGAGAGGUCACAUUGCGUCCCUGUGACACACAGGGAGUAGCCAGUGGAGCUGAGAUUCAAGCGCAGGCAGAGGGACUCCCCAGAUGCAUGUUGAACUGCUAGGUCAUAAUCCUCUCAAAAGCCUAAAGAUUCGACCCCCUUAAUCACUUCCUCGGCUUGUUUGUUGUUUCCUUUAGAACACGUUAUGAGUUGAUUUUUUCAUCUGUUCACCUGUUAUUGUCUGCUUCUCCUCCUAGCAUAUAAGCUGCGAGAGGAUAGGGGCUUUGUUCACUGCUGCAUCCCCAGAAUCAAGUGCUUGGGCUCAUAAACAUUUGUGGAAGGAAGGAAGGAAGGAAGAGAGGGAGGGAGGGAGGGAAUUCUGAGUAUCAGUCAGCUUGAUAGAUGAGGUCUGAUUAAAGGAAUGCCUGUUAUAUUUUGUUAUUUUCUAUCGACCGCUAAUUAUGCACCGAGCGGUCUUGUUUUUAAAGAAAAACCCAUCUGUGUCUUGCGCUGAAAAGAACAGAGGUCAUCUUUAAGGUGACAGCAGGCAGUGCAUAGGGCAAAGCACUGCCCAGCUACAUCCAUCUGCCCUUUUUUUUUU